RNAcentral lists this ribosomal RNA (200 nucleotides) under uncultured bacterium. RNAcentral's name for it is "partial 16S ribosomal RNA". It matches the Rfam family "Bacterial small subunit ribosomal RNA", at positions 28 to 231 of the family's 1533-position model. The record is from RNAcentral.
GAUGAACGCUGGCGGCGUGCUUAACACAUGCAAGUCGAACGAUGAACCACUUCGGUGGGGAUUAGUGUCGAACGGGUGAGUAACACGUGGGCAAUCUGCCCUUCACUCUGGGACAAGCCCUGGAAACGGGGUCUAAUACCGGAUACAACACUCUCGGGCAUCCGAUGAGUGUGGAAAGCUCCGGCGGUGAAGGAUGAGCC